GUGAAUCAUCGAAUCUUUGAACGCGAAUUGCACUCUCUUCGGAGAGUAUGCCUGUUUGAGGGUCAGCCUAAAAAAAAUCGACAUAGUUGCUGUUACGCGGUAACGUUCGUCGGAAAUUGGGUCAUCUUAAACCUUUGGGUUUAGCCGCUUUAAAUUUUCCUUUAGGUUCCCAAGAAGGUUCCAAGGUUUUUUUUUCCUAUUCGUUUAAGGUAA
RNAcentral lists this unclassified non-coding RNA (213 nucleotides) under Glomus sp. RNAcentral describes it as "partial contains 5.8S ribosomal RNA and internal transcribed spacer 2". The stretch from base 1 to 65 matches the Rfam family "5.8S ribosomal RNA", at positions 84 to 154 of the family's 154-position model. The record is from RNAcentral. Lineage: Eukaryota; Fungi; Glomeromycota; Glomeromycetes; Glomerales; Glomeraceae.